GCUUGAUGUGGUGGUGCACACCAGUAAUCCCAGCUGCUUUGGAGGCUGAGACAGGAGGAUCACUUGAGCCCAGGAGUUCAAGGUUACAGUGAGCUAUGAUCACACCACUGCACUCCAGCCUGGGUGACAGAGUGAGACCCUGUCUCUG
Unclassified non-coding RNA from Pongo abelii (Sumatran orangutan), 148 nucleotides. It matches the Rfam family "Metazoan signal recognition particle RNA". From Rfam's summary of the family: The signal recognition particle (SRP) is a universally conserved ribonucleoprotein. Lineage: Eukaryota; Metazoa; Chordata; Mammalia; Primates; Hominidae. The record is from Ensembl.